UAGAGUUUGAUCCUGGCUCAGGAUGAACGCUAGCGGCAGGCCUAACACAUGCAAGUCGAGGGGCAGCAUUAUUUAAGUUUACUUAGAUAGAUGGCGACCGGCGCACGGGUGCGUAACGCGUGAGCAACAUACCUUAUUCAGGGGGAUAACCCAGAGAAAUCUGGACUAAUACCGCAUAGUACUUAUUGACGGCAUCGUUAGUAAGUUAAAGAUUUAUUGGAAUAAGAUUGGCUCGCGUGACACUAGUUAGAUGGUAAGGUAACGGCUUACCAUGACUACGAUGUCUAGGGGAACUGAGAGGCCAAUCCCCCACACUGGAACUGAGACACGGUCCAGACUCCUACGGGAGGCAGCAGUGAGGAAUAUUGGACAAUGGAUGGAAAUCUGAUCCAGCCAUGCCGCGUGAAGGCUAGGGCCCUAUGGGUCUUCAACUUCUUUUGUAUGGGAGCAAUAAGGACUACGUGUAGUCUGAUGAGAGUACCAUACGAAUAAGCACCGGCUAACUCCGUGCCAGCAGCCGCGGUAAUACGGAGGGUGCAAGCGUUAUCCGGAUUUAUUGGGUUUAAAGGGUGCGUAGGCGGAUUUACAAGUCAGUGGUGAAAUUUAGGGGCUCAACCUCUACCGUGCCAUUGAAACUGUAAGUCUGGAAUACGGUUGCCGUGGGAGGAAUGUGUAGUGUAGCGGUGAAAUGCAUAGAUAUUACACAGAACACCGAUUGCGAAGGCAUCUCACGAAACCGUCAUUGACGCUGAGGCACGAAAGUGUGGGGAUCAAACAGGAUUAGAUACCCUGGUAGUCCACACGGUAAACGAUGAUAACUAGCUGUUUGCGAUAUACAGUAAGUGGCUAAGCGAAAGCGAUAAGUUAUCCACCUGGGGAGUACGUUCGCAAGAAUGAAACUCAAAGGAAUUGACGGGGGCCCGCACAAGCGGAGGAACAUGUGGUUUAAUUCGAUGAUACGCGAGGAACCUUACCCGGGCUCGAACGGUAUGUGAACGCGGUAGAGAUACCAAGGUCUGCAAAGACACAUAUCGAGGUGCUGCAUGGUUGUCGUCAGCUCGUGCCGUGAGGUGUCGGCUUAAGUGCCAUAACGAGCGCAACCCUUGUCGAUAGUUGCCAUCAGGUCAUGCUGGGGACUCUAUCGAGACUGCCACCGUAAGGUGUGAGGAAGGGGGGGAUGACGUCAAAUCAGCACGGCCCUUAUGUCCGGGGCGACACACGUGUUACAAUGGUAGGUACAGAGGGCAGCUACAUAGUGAUAUGAUGCAAAUCUCGAAAACCUAUCUCAGUUCGGAUUGGAGUCUGCAACUCGACUCCAUGAAGUUGGAUUCGCUAGUAAUCGCGCAUCAGCCAUGGCGCGGUGAAUACGUUCCCGGGCCUUGUACACACCGCCCGUCAAGCCAUGGAAGCUGGGGGUGCCUGAAGUUCGAGACCGCAAGGAUCGACCUAGGGCAAAACUGGUAACUGGGGCUAAGUCGUAACAAGGCCGUAA
Molecule: ribosomal RNA, 1492 nt
Filed under: uncultured bacterium
Lineage: Bacteria
Description: bacterial SSU rRNA
Rfam family: Bacterial small subunit ribosomal RNA
Source: RNAcentral